This 96-nucleotide non-coding RNA is filed under the name unclassified sequences. Its description in RNAcentral is "DUF3800-V RNA". It matches the Rfam family "DUF3800-V RNA". The record is from Rfam by way of RNAcentral.
UGGAGCUGGUACUAAUAUACUAGCCUGUGCUUAAGUCCUCAGGAGUGGUACACUCGUUUUCAGCUUAGGAACACCACAGCUAGCACCACCGUUCCA